Molecule: unclassified non-coding RNA, 178 nt
Filed under: uncultured Tremellales
Lineage: Eukaryota; Fungi; Basidiomycota; Tremellomycetes; Tremellales
Source: RNAcentral
GAGAAUUUUGGUUAGUCGAAAGACUUUCCUAAUACUUUAUUCCAUAAACACCUGUGCACCUUUUUUAUAUUAUGUUGGAUGUUGUUAGCUAUUAGUCGAAAGGCGAACGCAACCUCAUCUGAUGUAAAACACUACAAACAUAUUAGUCUUGAAUGUAAAAUAAAUUGUAACAAAAAUA